This 2948-nucleotide long non-coding RNA is filed under the name Podarcis lilfordi (Lilford's wall lizard). The record is from RNAcentral. Lineage: Eukaryota; Metazoa; Chordata; Lepidosauria; Squamata; Lacertidae.
AUGGAAUGAUCUUGACUGUUGCACUUUCAACAUGGCGCAUGUGGCUGGACAACAGUCCAACGUGAGCCAGAAACCAGGGGACAAAUCACUAAUCAGGCUCAAGUGGCCAUUUAGAAGGCAGGACCAAAGGAGAACCAAGAAUGCAUGAGGAGACCAGAGCGCAAGAAGACCUGGUUGACUUCAAAAAGCUCAGCUAGAACAGGAAGCCUUUUUAUAUGUCUAGAUGGAUCCAAUGGCCAGUCCAGGUGGAUUCAGUCUAGGGCUUGAAGGUACUGGGAAGCUGCCACCUCCAGUUCAACUGACCACCACCAUAUGAUAGAGCCACAUACAAAUCCUGCAAUUCUGGGCAGACAGGCAGGUCACUUGCGCAUUUUGCAUUGGGAGCAGGUAAGGGACAGUAACAUCCAAACAAUUUUUUUGAGCUAGGGUUUAAAAACGCCUUUGGUAGACCCUCUACAAUGUGAUGCGAUGGAAUAAAGAAGGAAAGAGAAUGGAGACAAAGUAAAAGAGAGCAGAGUCUUUGUUCCAGCCCAGUGGAAGUAGCGAGCAGAUAAGUGUGUUCAGCCCGGCUGCCAUACGGCGCGCUCUGCAUUUACACAUACAAGACAAAACAUGCCGAACAAAAACUGUUGAAAACAACAGAAGGAGCAAUAACAAGGAUAAUAUAUUAACAUGUGUGGGGUCCCCCCCGUUUUUGAUUCUUCUUUUUUUAAAUAGUACUCAACAGCUUUUGAAGACACACAUUCAUGUUUGGUGGCUCAGGCAUAGGAACAGAUGUUGCCUCUAAAGGGUGAGGGACUUUUGCUUUAUUCGCUCCUUAUCCAUUCAAAAAAAACCUUGCCUAGGUGCUAUGAGGUAAGACAUGAGACGGCCUCACACUCUGGUGGCAGCCCUUAUUUCUGGGGCGUGCCCAUGUUAAAUCACAGCCCGUUUUUGCCUUUUGCAGAUGCCCGGUUUGAAAGAAAUGAGGAUCUUGUGUGUUGCUAGAAUUGCCCUUUCAUAGAGGCUGCAAUCCUACCCUCACUUAACUAGGAAUAAGCCCUGCUGGACUCAAUGGGACUUCUGGAUCAGCAUAUACAGACCAGCACAGCCCAAUUGUUUGUUCAAGCAUCAGUAUUAUAUCUUAAAGUCCACAAACUGAUGCAACUGUACUUAUGGCAGAAAACUGAAAGAAAUCAUAAUAGCUCAGGUGGUACAGCAUGAGAAUUUGAAUCACAGGGUCAUGGGUUCAAGCCUCAUGUUGGGUGAAAGAUUCCUGCACUGCAGGAGGUUGAACUAGAUGAUCCUUGUGGUCCCUUCCAACGGCCUCGGUCUAGUAUACCUGAAGGAGCGUCUCCACCCCCAUCAUUCAGCCCAGACACUGAGGUCCAGCGCCAAGGGCCUUCUGGUGGUUCCCUCAUUGCGAGAAGUGAGGUUACAGGGAACCAGGCAGAAGGCCUUCUCGGUGGUGGCGCCUGCGCUGUGGAACGCCCUCCCACCAGAUGUCAAGGAAAUAAUCAAGUAUCCUACUUUUAAAAGACAUCUGAAGGCAGCCAUGUUUAGGGAAGUUUUUAUUAUUUAAUGCUGUAUUGAUUUUAAUAUUUGAUUGGGAGCCACCCAGAGUAGCUGGGGAAACUCAGCCAGAUGGGCUGUGUAUAAAUAAUAUAUUUAUUAUUAUUAUUAUUAUUAUUAUUAUUAUUAUUAUUAUUAUUCCAACUCUACAAUUCUGUGAUUCUCUAACAUAUUUAUCCCACCCUGGUAGGGAUGUUGGAGACAUCCAAUGGAAAUGGGAGCCAAAAUGGCCAACAUUCACUUAUUUCUUCCAUGGCAAGAAUGAAAAUCAAUCCAGUGAUUAUGAUUGGCAUUUUCUGUUGUCACUUUCAGCCGGCAAACAACAUGAUAGCGUUUCCACCUAAUUUGCAGUGUGCUUCCUUGGCACCGAAAUAGAUGGAGUGGAAUUACACAAUGACCAUGUAAUUUGUGCAUUAAUGUAAAUUCCAUAAGUGAUGCAAUUAUGCCGCAGCAGGCUACAAUGCAAUUAAUAUGGUUUUAGGCUGAAGACAAACUGCAGCAGAAUGGAAGCAGCACUGCAGGCCUUGCCUUCUUACUAAAGGUAGGUGAAUACAAUAAAUCCGAAAUUGCUGAUGAAAAACUUAAUUUCUUAAAGUAUAUUGUCAUUCCCUUUAAUAAAACAAACAAAUCUGCAGACGCAUGUCUGAUGUUGUAUGCUACCAAAAAAGAACAAAUGGGUAUUUUUAAACAUUGGCUAUGGAAAGCAAUUGAAAUUCAAGUGUUCUCUCAUUCCUCAAAAGAAUACCAGGUCAGGACCUGGUGCUUUUUUUCUUUCUCUCUUCCAAAGAGCAAUCGGGGUGUGUGUGUAAAUAAGAGUAAAAGGCCACUUGAACCCUCGAAGAUCGGAUCUAAGCAACUGUCCUGGAGCCCAUUUAACACAAGGCUGUAACAUUUUAAGUAUCUCCUGGCCACUGUCUCUAAAGGGAAAGCUCAUGUCAUCCCUUCCAUUUUCCCAUUGUACACAUCAUUUCCUGGCGAAUUCAGGAUUUAUUCCCCAGCUAAACCUUUCUUGACAGGUUUGUUAUCUGCUCACCCAGUCGGUGAGCCCCAGAGAGUCAGGGCCUAGCUGUUAGAGAGCGGGAAAGAGGAGGAGGGGAAAGAAAAGGGACUGGGAAAUAGGGCGAGUAAAUGUCAAGUGAACUGCCAAAGAUGGAUAUUAUAGCUGCUGGGGGCCUUGGAGAGUAUCAUGCAUCUUUUGUGUCUAUUUUACAGUCUGUGCUUCAUGUAAGACGGCAGGGCUGAGCAGAGUAUUGAUUUACUCCUGGGCAUCUACACACCACUUUAGGAUUACUGGGUCGACCAAGAAAAUAUCCACUGGCUUAAACCAACAGACGCUCCUGUAUACAAAACAAACUCAAAAUGAUGAUUUCCAAUCUACUUUCUUUUUUACUUUUCAG